This 762-nucleotide ribosomal RNA is filed under the name Triticum aestivum (bread wheat). RNAcentral's name for it is "partial small subunit ribosomal RNA". Lineage: Eukaryota; Viridiplantae; Streptophyta; Magnoliopsida; Poales; Poaceae. The record is from RNAcentral.
AUGGUGGAGGAGGCUUGGAUAUUGCACCAAGACACAUCAAGAUUGUGUCAAUGGUAUUCCAAAGUUUGUUUCCCACACCUCAAGAUGUUGGUCGCUCAACAUGAUUUCUCGCCUGAAUUCAUUCAUUACUUCAAGAAGAUAACCUUUUUAGACCUGGAGGGGACGGGAAGAGAUGGAUUGCCUUCCGAGAUAUGCAUAUUGUUGAAUCUGCAACAUCUCAAUCUUUCUGCAGCAGCAAUUAAUGCCCUGCCUCUAGAACUGGAAAGACUUUCAAAUCUCAAAGAAUUGUCCAUCAUAGCAAGCUCUCAUAGUAAGGUAUUGGUAGCUGAAGGUGGCUCUAGCUAUGAAGACUGGCUACUCCCUUACCUUGAAAUAUUUGAACUGAACAAUAUGUUCAAGCUAGAGAAAGUGACAAGGAAGAAUGCGGGGAUGGACAUUAGAGUGGUCAGUAUUUACAAAUGCGAUAAACUAAAAGAUGUCCUCGAGCAGCUUACAAUUGCACAGUGCCAGGAAAUGGAAAGGUUGAUUGAAAAUGGAGAAUCGCUUUACGCGCCAAUAAUUUUUCCUCGGCUGAAAAGGCUUAAAUUGGAAGAGCUGCCAAAGCUAUCCACGACAUACAAGAAAGCUUGGGAUUUUGAAGAGUUGUCUUAUAUUUAUGUAGCUCAGUGCAGUGAGAUGAAGAAUAUCCAAAAUCAAACGGUAGACUGCAAGGGCCUACAAGUACCCUUUUGGGGGCAUCGUUUUGGAGCAAAUGUUGGCUAG